RNAcentral lists this ribosomal RNA (44 nucleotides) under Hodophilus sp. 1 BL-2016. RNAcentral's name for it is "partial 25S large subunit ribosomal RNA". The record is from RNAcentral. Lineage: Eukaryota; Fungi; Basidiomycota; Agaricomycetes; Agaricales; Clavariaceae.
CUCUUGACCUCAAAUCAGGUAGGAUUACCCCCUGAACUUAAGCA